RNAcentral lists this long non-coding RNA (385 nucleotides) under Chrysolophus pictus (golden pheasant). Its description in RNAcentral is "lncRNA (ENSCPIG00010010197.1)". Lineage: Eukaryota; Metazoa; Chordata; Aves; Galliformes; Phasianidae. The record is from RNAcentral.
UUUAGGUCACUCUGAAAGUAAUACAUAGUUCAGACAUAAUGAGAGCUGAAAGUUGAGACUUUUUUAACAGCAUUCAGAGUCCCAAAGAGCCUGCUCUCUUUUCCCACUAGCCUCUUCAACUGUUUUGGCAGGAUUUUGGCGUAUGCUUCUUCCGCAAUGAAUGCAAGUGUUGGGAAGGAAAAAAAAAGAUAGCCGAUUUGCAAAGAGUGACAUAUGCAACAAGAAAAUACAAAACAAAAACCCCACAUGAUACGAGAAGGAGCUUACAACGUGAGAUCUCAAAACUUAAAAAAAUGAUUCUGAAUUAUUGAAACUUCAAUCAAGCCCUAAUGUAAUACUUGACCUUACAAUGGGCCAGAAAAAAACCCAGAUCAGAGCACUGCCA